This is a long non-coding RNA of Esox lucius (northern pike), 2909 nucleotides long. The record is from Ensembl. NCBI's taxonomy places the organism in Eukaryota, Metazoa, Chordata, Actinopteri, Esociformes, Esocidae.
GUCCAACUUAGACUGUUAGGUGUUCCUGGCUUAUUUGCUCUGUGCACAAUAACUUGGGGAUGAGGUUAAUUUCUAUCUUACCACCAAAAUUGAACGCCAAAUUCAAUACAUUUCCAGACAUUAAAUGAAACAAAAUUUUGAAGAAAUGUGGUUAAUAUUUAUGCAAGCCUCAAUUUUCAAACAUACCAUAUAUAUGACAUUUGAACAUACAUGACAUUUGCUACAUACACCAAUUAGCCAUAAGAUUAUGACCACCUGCCUAAUCUUGUGUAGGUCCCCCUUUUGCCGCCAAAACAGCCCUGACCCUUUGAGACAUGGACUCCACUAGACAUCUGAAGGUGUGCUGUGGUAUCUGGCACCAAGAUGUUAGCAGCAGAUAGGUACUGACCACUGCAGACCGGGAACACAAGGGCUACAGUUUAGGAGGUGCUCUGAUCCAGUCGUCUAGUGAUCACAAUUUGGCCCUUGUAAAAGUCGCUCAGAUCCUUACGCUUGCCAAUUUUUCCUGCUUCUAACAAAUCAACUUUGAGGACACAAUGUUCACUUGCUGCCUAAUAUAUCCCACCCACUGACAGGUGCCAUGAUGACGAGAUUGUCAGUGUUAUUCACUUCACCUGUCAGUGGUUAUAAUGUUAUGGCUGAUUGGUGUAUGAUUAAUGAAACACUGAAAAUUUAUUUAUUCCCUGACAUUCCUCCUAACAGACCUUCCUCAGCCCAGUCUGACAGUGAUUCCUACAGUCAUCAGAGAGAGAGGCUCUGUUCAGGUGAUCUGUGCAACUCCUUCAUCUCUCUCUGAGUCUGAGUGUUACUUCAAAUUUGAGGGGCAAGUUGAGUUUACCCUACCAGCAGCCUGUCAACAGACACUCAGAGUCACAGGAAAUCAUCUGUUACGGUGGACAGGUCGAAGUUCACCUGCUGUGGUCAAAAUACAAUGUCAAUACAGUAACACAAGCUUUCAGUUUAGAUCCAUAUUCAGUGACCCAUCUACAGUCACAAUUGAGGAUCAUCCUCAGCUGACAGUGAUUCCUACAGUCAUCAGAAAGAGAGACUCAGUUCAGCUGAUCUGUGAGACUCCUCCAUCUGUCUAUGUGUCUGACUGUAUCUUCAGUGAAGUGGGGAGAUCUAGUCUGCCAGGCUCAACCUGUAAACAGACGGUCACAGGAUCUCAGCUGCUCUCUUGGACAGGUCAACCAUUACCAGCUGUGGUCCAGGUCACAUGUCACUACACUGUAGGGAUGUCUCACACAUCUCCUGUCAGUGACCCAGUUUCUGUCACUGUCCAGGGUGAACUACAGAAACCAGAGAUACAUAUGAAGGAUGAGUCUUCUGAUGUCAUCUCUAUAGACUCCCACUCUGUGUCCCCACACAGUGAUGGAUACAACUUACCAGAUCUGCCGGGAGAUCUCAUGAUCAGUGAUCCAACAACUAAACAGACAUCUUCUACAGCAGUUCCUGCUGAAGAGAACGAACAGUCAUCUGGAAAUGGCAAUUCUGGUACAUACCACAUGUACUGCUCAGUCCCUGAUCGACCAGCAACCUCAGCCCAGACAGUUGGGCUGUAGAGUCUUCUGCAGACACACUGAAACUACACCACUGGUUUUCUGUUGCUACAUUUAAAAGGUCUCAAACAAAUACCCUAUUUUUAACAUAAUGUCUUAAGUUCACAUCACUUUACUUGAAAUUAUCACUUACACCUGACUUUUGUUACAUAUCCAUAAUAUCUAUUUUAGUGUUUAAGUAAUUCGGGACAUAUUAUUUUUGUAUUUGUUUCUUCUUUUGCCCCUAGUAAAUUAUGUUUAAUCUGCAGUAUUAAUGUUUAUUGUCAGCUGUGUGAGGAGUUUUUCCAUAGUGCUUGGAUUCAGUUUCCAAUAUUUAUUCCAGUAUUUGGAGUAAACAUUUAUAUCAAUUGAUGCCUUUAUUGUAUACUCACACAUUAUGCAACAUGCAUAUUGGAUAUCAAGUUACUUUAAUUAACAGUAAUUAGGAAUGGAUCCAAACAGAAUUUCAUCCAAUAAAUGUCAUUAAUUCAAAAAUAUGCAUUCUAAAUGUAAUGUAGUGUUGUAAAGGACAGGUCUGGAAACAAGUCCAGAUUAAUUUAAACUUGCUUUAAUAGCAAACUGUAACUAAUCACACAAAGGUACUGACAAAGUAAAAGGGCCAACUUAGAACAAGAUGAGAUGAUUAUAUACUGUAGGUUUCACACAGACAGAACUGGAGUAAGUAACUGGCUGUAUGACAAACAAACGAAAACCAGUGGUAAAAGUAGGGUGACUGGUAGGAAACCGGUGUGCCUAAUUGUCUGGUGAUCAUGGGAAGGGUGUUGGAUAGUGAGUGUCCGGGGAGCUGAUGACAGAACAGGGCAUUGGGUUGGGAGUGACGGGGUGGCCGGUGAUUAGAAAACCGGGGAGGUUGAUCUCCUGAGGUGGGGAGGAGUCAUUGUGAGUGACCCAGACGUGGCAGUAAGCUACUGUACUCUGAUUAAAGGUGUAUAUACUUCUGGUUGGACCCAAACUGCAUUUCAUGGUACUGUACUUGUUCAUUGACAAUCAAGCUGAAUCUAAUCUAAUCAACCAGACAUGUGGUAGAGAGAUAAUUAUGUAUGAAAGUGUGAAUAUGUUCACUCAUUUCAUUUUUUAUAUUUAUUAUAGCAAUUUGUCACGUCCUAAAGUUAAUCUUUGAACUGAAAUUAUUUUAAAUACUAUGUAUUAGAUUAUAUAUGUAUAUUUUCUUCCAAUUACUAACCUAUUUUGUCUCCCUUCCUUAAUGCCAAAAAUCCUCAUGAUCUCUAAAUAACACUUCCUCCUCCUUCCCUUGUUAUUUUGACAUUAGAAUUUUUCAUUUUGGAAACACAAACUCUUAUCCCCACACACAAACCAUUCAGGAAGUGACUGUAUAUAAUAUGAUUGCAU